UGGGGAAUAUUGGACAAUGGGGGCAACCCUGAUCCAGCAAUGCCGCGUGUGUGAAGAAGGCCUGCGGGUUGUAAAGCACUUUCAGUGGGGAGGAGGUUUUGUUGGUUAAGAGCUGAUGAGAUGGACGUUACCCACAGAAGAAGCACCGGCUAACUCCGUGCCAGCAGCCGCGGUAAUACGGAGGGUGCGAGCGUUAAUCGGAAUUACUGGGCGUAAAGGGUGCGUAGGUUGUUGAAUAAGUUAUCUGUGAAAUCCCCGGGCUUAACCUGGGCAGGUCAGAUAAGACUGUUUGACUCGAGUAUGGGAGAGGGUAGUGGAAUUUCCGGUGUAGCGGUGAAAUGCGUAGAGAUCGGAAGGAACACCAGUGGCGAAGGCGGCUACCUGGCCUGUUACUGACACUGAAGCACGAAAGCGUGGGGAGCAAACAGG
This 429-nucleotide ribosomal RNA is filed under the name uncultured bacterium. RNAcentral describes it as "bacterial SSU rRNA". It matches the Rfam family "Bacterial small subunit ribosomal RNA", at positions 355 to 776 of the family's 1533-position model. The record is from RNAcentral.